Molecule: long non-coding RNA, 942 nt
Organism: Hemicordylus capensis (graceful crag lizard)
Lineage: Eukaryota; Metazoa; Chordata; Lepidosauria; Squamata; Cordylidae
Exons: 3
Source: RefSeq, a predicted model, not a curated record
UUGGGGAGAUGCUGCAGCUUCUGGGCUCCUCCUCUCCCCGGCUUCUCUCUCUCAGCGGCCCCUUCACCUGGCCAGAGCAGUGGGAGAGAGGACACCCUCGGACCGGACCGGCCCUGCCUUGUGGCAGGGAGAAGCGAGCGGCUUCUGGCGGCGAACGUGGGGGAGCGGCACUCUUGUUCGGGAGCAGAGAGCCUCUGCAAGGUUUUCGUGCAGGUCUGGCUUGUUAUUUCUGAUGACAGAAGGAAGAUGGAGACAAAGCGACAACUAUGCAGAAAACCAUUGUGAGGGGGGCCAUUCCCAAGCCAGCUUUGCAAGCAUGGUGUGAGAACUGGAAGCGAGCGCAUGGGAAGCAGGCCAGACUGUUAUAGAAGCAUCAACGAAACCCACCUAACUGAAGAAUCCACAAGCAGCUUUGACAUCUGCUCUGUCAGAGUUCAGCCCAAGCUGGUGGUUUCCAAAGGACAAGAUUCAGCCACCAAAUGUCUCUGGACUCCGACUGCUGUGGAUCAUGCCAGAGUCCCAAGGAAUCCACACACUGGUCAGGAGGACUAGGCCUCUGGGAUCCAAAGAGGGCCUCUGCGUAGAUGCCGUAUGGCUAGAGCAAGUUGGUUGCUGAGGGCCACUUAGGACGGGCCGCCCUGAGUAUCUUGUGCCGAGUUAGGAUGAAUGGCAGCCCAGAAUGACCAUCCUCUCUGUGCCUAGUCCUGAUGGGACAAAGACCCACCACCCGAAGAAAGCAUUGCCAUGGAUGGCUCUUCAUUCCUAACACGUGUUGACAUGUAGCCUUUUGUGCAGAAAAAUGCUGCCUUUGAAUUGCAGCUCCCUUAAGCUGACUGGUGUUUUCCCUUGAAAAAAUAUUAUACUGUUGUGCUUUAAAUUUUGUACACCGCCUAGAGAUGUACAUAUCAGGAGGUAUAAAAAUAUGAUGAAUAAAUAAAAUAA